AGGGAUGUAGCUCAGUGGAAGAACACAUGCUUACCAUGUGUGAUGCCCUGGGUUCAAUCCCUAGCAACCCCU
RNAcentral lists this transfer RNA (72 nucleotides) under Heterocephalus glaber (naked mole-rat). It matches the Rfam family "tRNA". From Rfam's summary of the family: Transfer RNA (tRNA) molecules are approximately 80 nucleotides in length. Their secondary structure includes four short double-helical elements and three loops (D, anti-codon, and T loops). Lineage: Eukaryota; Metazoa; Chordata; Mammalia; Rodentia; Bathyergidae. The record is from Rfam by way of RNAcentral.